AUUUCCUUACUUAAAUAGAGAUAAUCGUCAUUCCACGACAUUUUCAUUUCUCGUUCUAUUUCUUCACCUCUCUUCCCAGAUGAAUUUCCGAAAACUGAAACUAAAUCAUCAAAAACUGAAGAAACAUAUUAAAAUCUCCAAAAAUCAAACCUAAAACCAAUUUAUUGUCUACUAUUACAACUUCUCUUUACUACAACAAGAUUCAAAAGAUCAAAAGAAAGUCAGAAAUUAGGGUUUGUGAUCGAAAUCAGUUUAAUGUUUAACUGUAAUCUUCGUAUUUAAAAGAUGACAGAAUUUUUUUUGGAAAAAGCUUCACCAAAGAAUUUAGGGGUUCUUUAUAACAAUGGUUGUUUCCAACAUUAUGAAUUAUUGAUUUGGUUGCGAAGCAAAUCAAAGAUGAAAUCAAAAUGAAGUAUUGAAGAUGAAGGAUGCAAUUGGUUUGUACCAGGGUUACUGUUAAUCUAGUCGGAGAUAAAAAGGAUUCUACAACGUAUUUGCGCAACAAGAAGAAGGCUUGUGAAGCAGUUGGGAUUACACAAGUAUAUUACUGAUUACAAUGAGAAUCCCAAAGUUGAUGGUAUCUGCCUCUACCUCGUGAGCAAUCAUUAAUUCCAAUUGACAUUGAGUCACAAAAGAUUGCUUCAUGCUAGAGCUGUCAACGGGGCAAGCUAGGGUCAACCCGGACCUAGCUUGCCAAGCCACAGACGGGUUAGGGUCAGCCCUAGGCCUAGUACUGUUCAUGUACAAGCCCAAUAUCCCAACCCUAGCCCUAGACGGGUUGGCUCUGACGGGUCGUGGGUUGGCUUGUUUUUUUCCUUCUAAUUUCUAACAUACCACAAAAAAAGUAGUCUGGAAAGCUUAGAACACUUGACAUCGUGGUUGUGAAGUUAUCAUUUGUCCACCAAGCUAGGUUAACUUGCGUGUCAGGUGCUACUAGUUAUUGUAUAAGUAUAAAAGAUAAAACAUCCCAUGUAUUUAGGUUAGUUAGUCAACUGACGUAACACUUUAUAUUAUCUUCCACGUUUCCUCUUCCGACGCCGUCUCUCUCCAUCUCCAUCUCAAUUUGUUUUUUCUUUUUCUCUGUAAAACCAUGGGGAUGAUAAGAUACAGAGAUAACUCAUUCUCACUUCAUCACUUCCCAUGUGCAUCGACGGUUAACGGAUCAUUUUUAUUUGUUAAUGGAUAUCGCAAUCUGCAUCUACCAUUUUAUUCCAUCUUCUCACAAAGUCGUAACUCUGUUGACAAUUUGUAUCUUAGUGGUGGUAGAAAAUUGAUAGAUUAAUGUUUAGGAUUUGAUCUUCCAAUUCACAUACGAAUACGGGUGUUUAAUUGUUUAUAUUUUAUGAAGCUAAACAAUUAAAGAACUGAUUUGAGAUUGUUA
Papaver somniferum (opium poppy) is the source of this 1381-nucleotide long non-coding RNA. RefSeq lists it as uncharacterized. Lineage: Eukaryota; Viridiplantae; Streptophyta; Magnoliopsida; Ranunculales; Papaveraceae. The record is from RefSeq and is a predicted model, not a curated record. The transcript has 4 exons.